UACGGAGGGUGCCAGCGUUACCCGGAUUCACUGGGCGUAAAGGGCGCGUAGGCGGCCUGCUCAGUCCGGCGCUAAAGCCCGGGGCUCAACCCCGGAAGCGCGCUGGAUACUGGUGGGCUCGACGGCUGGAGAGGGCAGUGGAAUUCCCGGAGUAGCGGUGAAAUGCGCAGAUACCGGGAGGAACGCCGAUGGCGAAGGCAGCUGCCUGGACAGCCCGUGACGCUGAGGCGGGAAAGCGUGGGGAGCAAACCGG
This 253-nucleotide ribosomal RNA is filed under the name uncultured bacterium. RNAcentral's name for it is "partial 16S ribosomal RNA". It matches the Rfam family "Bacterial small subunit ribosomal RNA", at positions 524 to 776 of the family's 1533-position model. The record is from RNAcentral.